GCAGGUAAUAGAGAAGCAAAGACUAAUAGAAUUUGCGGAAGCACUUCGCAGUAAGCUCAACUAUUUUGAUGAAUUGGAAAAUAUAUCUACCAACUUUUAUUCUCCAAAUAUGAAUGUUGUAAAUCAGAACUUUCUCACUCUGCUCAAACGACUUGAUGACUGCAUAUCGUAUGUUGAAAACAAUCCACAGUAUGCGGAAUCCGGUGUUUACUUGCAGGUCUACAUAUUUAUAUGAUACAUUGCGGCGAAAACUUAUUCACGAAACAAACAUCGAAUAUGGUGGUCUCGUGUCUGUGGAUGGAAUGGAAUGGCAUAAUUUUUUAGGAAAAAGCGAUGGGCCAAUUGAUAUUUUUGAGAAGGCAAAGUUCUAUGCAUUGCUAUGGGCUGCUUCAGGUUCCUGUUUACUUUGGUCAUUUUGAAUUAGGAAGAUGUAAUAGGGAUUUGAUUUGAGAUAUCGUUUGUGUUUAUCUUGCUCUUUUUGUAUGAUAGUCAGUUUUUCACACCUGGCCAUUUUUGUUUCUUUUUGGUUUGAGGAUUCCUUGUCCUCUGCCCUUGUUAUUGAAUUUUAUCAAUAAAGUUUUUAUUGUCAAAAAAAUA
This is a long non-coding RNA of Morus notabilis, 597 nucleotides long. RefSeq lists it as uncharacterized. NCBI's taxonomy places the organism in Eukaryota, Viridiplantae, Streptophyta, Magnoliopsida, Rosales, Moraceae. The transcript has 3 exons. The record is from RefSeq and is a predicted model, not a curated record.